AUUGAACGCUGGCGGCAUGCCUUACACAUGCAAGUCGAACGGCAGCGGGGACUUCGGUCCGCCGGCGAGUGGCGAACGGGUGAGUAAUGUAUCGGAACGUACCUUUCAGUGGGGGAUAACGUAGCGAAAGUUACGCUAAUACCGCAUAUUCUCUGAGGAGGAAAGCAGGGGACCUUCGGGCCUUGCGCUGAUGGAGCGGCCGAUAUCAGAUUAGCUAGUUGGUGGGGUAAAGGCUCACCAAGGCUACGAUCUGUAGCGGGUCUGAGAGGAUGAUCCGCCACACUGGGACUGAGACACGGCCCAGACUCCUACGGGAGGCAGCAGUGGGGAAUUUUGGACAAUGGGCGAAAGCCUGAUCCAGCCAUGCCGCGUGAGUGAAGAAGGCCUUCGGGUUGUAAACCGCUUUUGUCGGGGAAGAAAUGCUCCGGGAUAAUACCCUGGGGAGAUGACGGUACCCGAAGAAUAAGCACCGGCUAACUACGUGCCAGCCGCCGCCGUAA
This 500-nucleotide ribosomal RNA is filed under the name uncultured bacterium. RNAcentral describes it as "partial 16S ribosomal RNA". It matches the Rfam family "Bacterial small subunit ribosomal RNA", at positions 30 to 523 of the family's 1533-position model. The record is from RNAcentral.